This 398-nucleotide ribosomal RNA is filed under the name uncultured bacterium. Its description in RNAcentral is "bacterial SSU rRNA". It matches the Rfam family "Bacterial small subunit ribosomal RNA", at positions 29 to 409 of the family's 1533-position model. The record is from RNAcentral.
AACGAACGUUGGCGGCGUGGAUUAGGCAUGCAAGUCGUACGCGAAAGAGGGGGCAACUCCUCGAGUAAAGUGGCGAACGGGUGAGUAACGCGUAGGAAACCUGCCUUCGAGAUGGGGAUAACACUCCUAACGGGGUGCUAAUACCGAAUGACACUGCGGGAUCGCAUGGUUCUGCAGUCAAAGGUGGCCUCUGCUUGCAAGCUACCACUCAAAGAUGGUCCUGCGUCCCAUUAGCUAGUUGGCGGGGUAACGGCCCACAAGGCGACGAUGGGUAGCCGAUCUGAGAGGAUGACCGGCCACACUGGGACUGAGAUACGGCCCAGACUCCUACGGGAGGCAGCAGUCGAGAGGCUUCGGCAAGUGGGGAAACCCUGACCGAGCGACGCCGCGUGGAGGAU